UACGUAGGGAGCAAGCGUUGUCCGGAAUUACUGGGUGUAAAGGGAGCGUAGGCGGGAUGGCAAGUUGGGUGUUAAAUCUACCGGCUCAACUGGUAGUCGCACUCAAAACUGCUAUUCUUGAGUGAAGUAGAGGCAGGCGGAAUUCCUAGUGUAGCGGUGAAAUGCGUAGAUAUUAGGAGGGACACCAGUGGCGAAGGCGGCCUGCUGGGCUUUUACUGACACUGAGGCUCGAAAGUGUGGGGAGCAAACAGG
RNAcentral lists this ribosomal RNA (252 nucleotides) under uncultured bacterium. RNAcentral's name for it is "partial 16S ribosomal RNA". It matches the Rfam family "Bacterial small subunit ribosomal RNA", at positions 524 to 776 of the family's 1533-position model. The record is from RNAcentral.